Molecule: ribosomal RNA, 465 nt
Filed under: Vreelandella stevensii
Lineage: Bacteria; Pseudomonadati; Pseudomonadota; Gammaproteobacteria; Oceanospirillales; Halomonadaceae
Description: partial 16S ribosomal RNA
Rfam family: Bacterial small subunit ribosomal RNA
Source: RNAcentral
CCUACGGGGCGCUGCAGUGGGGAAUAUUGGACAAUGGGCGAAAGCCUGAUCCAGCCAUGCCGCGUGUGUGAAGAAGGCCUUCGGGUUGUAAAGCACUUUCAGUGGGGAAGAAAGCCUUGGGGCUAAUACCCUCGAGGAAGGACAUCACCCACAGAAGAAGCACCGGCUAACUCCGUGCCAGCAGCCGCGGUAAUACGGAGGGUGCGAGCGUUAAUCGGAAUUACUGGGCGUAAAGCGCGCGUAGGCGGUCUGAUAAGCCGGUUGUGAAAGCCCCGGGCUCAACCUGGGAACGGCAUCCGGAACUGUCAGGCUAGAGUGCAGGAGAGGAAGGUAGAAUCCCCGGUGUAGCGGUGAAAUGCGUAGAGAUCGGGAGGAAUACCAGUGGCGAAGGCGGCCUUCUGGACUGACACUGACGCUGAGGUGCGAAAGCGUGGGUAGCAAACAGGAUUAGAUACCCGAGUAGUC